CUGGUAGAAAUGUAAAACAGUGCAACUGCUUUGGAAAAUAGUAUGGGAUCAUGAAGAGGUGUUUACACACCCAUGUUCGUUGCAGCAUUAUCCACAACAGUUUAGAGUUGGAAGCAACUCAAAGGCAGGUGAAAAGAUGAGUAAGAAAAUAUGUUACCUAUAUAGAGUGGAAUAUUAUUCAGCUUUGUAAAAGAAGGAAAUUUCUUAUCAUCCUACAAUGAAACUCUACUAAGCAAAAUGAGCCAGUCACAUGAAGCCAGAUAGUCCAAGAUUGCAUGUAGGUGAGGUAUUUAAAGCAGACAAACUCACAGAGACAGAAAUUAGAAUGUUGCUUGCCAGAGGAUGAGGGGAGGGAGAACUGGGAGUUGUUCAAUUGAUAGAAGUUUCAAGUUGCAAGAUGAAAACGUGGGUUGCACAGCCACAUGCACAUAAAGAACACUCCGGAACUACUUAACAAUGGUGGAGAUGGCAAGUUUCCUCUGUGAUUAUUUAAUCACAGUGAGAAAUAGACACAGGAAGUGGUUGGACGUAAGGGAGGCAGGCACUGGUGUGUCACCAAAGUCCAUGAAGACAGCGACCAC
Molecule: long non-coding RNA, 581 nt
Filed under: Marmota monax (woodchuck)
Lineage: Eukaryota; Metazoa; Chordata; Mammalia; Rodentia; Sciuridae
Source: RNAcentral